Molecule: long non-coding RNA, 973 nt
Organism: Hippoglossus stenolepis (Pacific halibut)
Lineage: Eukaryota; Metazoa; Chordata; Actinopteri; Pleuronectiformes; Pleuronectidae
Exons: 4
Source: RefSeq, a predicted model, not a curated record
UCUGCUCCACUUGAGCCACAUGCAGCAAACACUGCUCUCGGUCUCCUGUGUUUGUCUCUGUGCCAAACGAGGUCACACCAGAAGUCGCUGUCUGAAGACAAAGUUGGGCUUCAAUGGCUGAAGUGUGCUGCCGGCCUAUUUGGUGUCGAUGGCUCCAGUGAUCACCAUCAAGAAACGUUCAAACGAUGCAGUGAAGAAGAAGCAACCAACUACAGUGGAGCUGACCUUCGACCUCAGACUGUUCUUCCUCUCCUCUCCAAAUCAUUUGCCCGCAGAGUUUAUCUCCUCCAGUCGACUCGUUGGCUCCUGAUUCACUCAGAGAGAGAGAGCAGCUUCUCCAUCGGCCUCACAGACCUGAGUGGCUUCAAGUCAUCUCGCCUUUUGUUUUGAAAAGGUCACGACAACAUCUACACCACCAACAACUACGGGCAGAAAUACAGAGCUCCCACCAACUUCUGCUUCACGCUAAAGUCUUUUUUUUUUGUUGAUGAGGAGAAGAAGAGAUGGAUGUUCUUGAAAGGAGGGAGGAGUUGGUCUGCUGGUCUACAGUCUGUGGAGCAUUUUGGCAUAACCAUGCUACACUGCCUCAUCUGUUCAAAGUGUGGUAAUACUUCACUGUCGGAUCGACUGCUACUACAGAGUAUUAGGCCACGUAAAGGAAAAGAAUCUGAGAUCAAGAGAAUUAAGUUGUAAUAGGAAAAAAUUGUAGUAUUACAAGAUUAAUGUCAUAACAUUUCAAAUAAAAAUCUUAAUAUCCAUGAAUACAGUUGUAAUGUUACGAGGGAAGUUGUAUUAUUACAAGAAUAAAAUCUUUGUCGAGGAGAAAAUGUUUAUUAGUGAUUGACUGCAAGGUUUUUUAUAUGAUAUUCGGAGGGAUUUCAAUUUUCAAGAACCACUGAGAUUGGUACAAGACUUUGGAUUCUCCUUACUGCUUUUUCCUUCAAUAAAAAAGGUGUUUUUCCUUGAAAUAUUA